GUAGGUGGCAAGCGUUGUCCGGAAUUAUUGGGCGUAAAGCGCGCGCAGGCGGUUCUUUAAGUCUGAUGUGAAAGCCCACGGCUUAACCGUGGAGGGUCAUUGGAAACUGGAGAACUUGAGUACAGAAGAGGAAAGCGGAAUUCCACGUGUAGCGGUGAAAUGCGUAGAGAUGUGGAGGAACACCAGUGGCGAAGGCGGCUUUCUGGUCUGUAACUGACGCCGAGGCGCGAAAGCGUGGGGAGCAAACAGGGAUUAGAUACCCUGGUAGUCCACGCCGUAAACGAUGAGUGCUAAGUGUUAGGGGGUUUCCCGCCCCUUAGUGCUGCAGCUAACGCAUUAAGCACUCCGCCUGGGGAUACGGCCGCAAGGCUG
RNAcentral lists this ribosomal RNA (372 nucleotides) under uncultured organism. RNAcentral's name for it is "partial 16S ribosomal RNA". It matches the Rfam family "Bacterial small subunit ribosomal RNA", at positions 527 to 896 of the family's 1533-position model. The record is from RNAcentral.